Long non-coding RNA from Ornithorhynchus anatinus (platypus), 381 nucleotides. RefSeq lists it as uncharacterized. NCBI's taxonomy places the organism in Eukaryota, Metazoa, Chordata, Mammalia, Monotremata, Ornithorhynchidae. The record is from RefSeq and is a predicted model, not a curated record. The transcript is spliced from 2 exons.
GCUCACAGAGUAUCUGGCGCUUACAAUAAUAGCUUUUUCUGGUGCUUACAAGAACGGCUUUUUGGCGCACCUCAUGGGGAAUAAGUUGUUUUACCGCAACCAUGCAAGUCAGAUGGAAGCUCUGAAUCUACUUUAAGCUCUCCUCCUUGGGCUGGGAAGAAAACAAUUACAGGAUCAACACUUUGUUUAGGUCAGAGUGGACUUUGUUUGAAUCAGUUGAAAGGCAGUCUGAAAACGGGUACCUAAAAGGACAGCAUUUUCCGUUUAUGAUGCUGUAGGAAGAUUGUCAUACGGCCACACAAGAUGGGGAUUUGGAAUCUGCCUGUGAACCGUACCCCUAAUGUUUCAUUCGGCUAGGUAAUUGAACAGUUAUGGCACAGA